Molecule: ribosomal RNA, 254 nt
Filed under: uncultured bacterium
Lineage: Bacteria
Description: partial 16S ribosomal RNA
Rfam family: Bacterial small subunit ribosomal RNA
Source: RNAcentral
UACGUAGGGUGCGAGCGUUGUCCGGAAUUAUUGGGCGUAAAGAGCUCGUAGGCGGUCUGUCGCGUCGAUCGUGAAAACUUGGGGCUUAACCCUGAGCUUGCGGUCGAUACGGGCAUGACUGGAGUUCGGCAGGGGAGACUGGAAUUCCUGGUGUAGCGGUGAAAUGCGCAGAUAUCAGGAGGAACACCGGUGGCGAAGGCGGGUCUCUGGGCCGAUACUGACGCUAAGGCGCGAAAGCGUGGGGAGCGAACAGG